This 23-nucleotide small nuclear RNA is filed under the name Arabidopsis thaliana (thale cress). Its description in RNAcentral is "snRNA_02524". Lineage: Eukaryota; Viridiplantae; Streptophyta; Magnoliopsida; Brassicales; Brassicaceae. The record is from RNAcentral.
AAACCGUACAUUCAACAGUUUCU